UACGGAGGGUGCAAGCGUUAUCCGGAUUCACUGGGUUUAAAGGGUGCGUAGGCGGGCAUGUAAGUCCGUGGUGAAAUCUCCGAGCUUAACUCGGAAACUGCCAUGGAUACUAUGUGUCUUGAAUGUUGUGGAGGUGAGCGGAAUAUGUCAUGUAGCGGUGAAAUGCUUAGAUAUGACAUAGAACACCAAUUGCGAAGGCAGCUCACUACACAAAUAUUGACGCUGAGGCACGAAAGCGUGGGGAUCAAACAGG
This 253-nucleotide ribosomal RNA is filed under the name uncultured bacterium. RNAcentral describes it as "partial 16S ribosomal RNA". It matches the Rfam family "Bacterial small subunit ribosomal RNA", at positions 524 to 776 of the family's 1533-position model. The record is from RNAcentral. RNAcentral also lists the same sequence under 2 other names.